CUUCCUACGGGACGCAGCAGUCGGGAAUAUUGCGCAAUGGAGGAAACUCUGACGCAGUGACGCCGCGUAUAGGAAGAAGGUUUUCGGAUUGUAAACUAUUGUCGUUAGGGAAGAUAAAAGACUGUACCUAAGGAGGAAGCACCGGCUAACUCCGUGCCAGCAGCCGCGGUAAUACGGAGGGUGCAAGCGUUACUCGGAAUCACUGGGCGUAAAGAGUGCGUAGGCGGGGUAAUAAGUCAGAUGUGAAAUCCUGUAGCUUAACUACAGAACUGCAUUUGAAACUGUUACUCUGGAGUGUGGGAGAG
This 305-nucleotide ribosomal RNA is filed under the name uncultured bacterium. RNAcentral describes it as "bacterial SSU rRNA". It matches the Rfam family "Bacterial small subunit ribosomal RNA", at positions 335 to 656 of the family's 1533-position model. The record is from RNAcentral.